RNAcentral lists this small nuclear RNA (107 nucleotides) under Prolemur simus (greater bamboo lemur). The record is from RNAcentral. Lineage: Eukaryota; Metazoa; Chordata; Mammalia; Primates; Lemuridae.
GUGCUCGCCUCGGCAGCACAUAUACUAAAAUUGGAACGACACAGAGAAGAUUAGCAUGGCCCCUGUGCAAGGAUGACAUGCAAAUUCGCGAAGCAUUCCAUAUUUUU